GGGCAUACAAUUGGCUUCAGCAUC
RNAcentral lists this non-coding RNA (24 nucleotides) under Arabidopsis thaliana (thale cress). The record is from RNAcentral. Lineage: Eukaryota; Viridiplantae; Streptophyta; Magnoliopsida; Brassicales; Brassicaceae.